This 583-nucleotide unclassified non-coding RNA is filed under the name Airopsis tenella. RNAcentral's name for it is "contains 3' external transcribed spacer, ETS". Lineage: Eukaryota; Viridiplantae; Streptophyta; Magnoliopsida; Poales; Poaceae. The record is from RNAcentral.
CCCGUCAUUCGUGUGGCUUAUGUUACCGUUGCCUUUCAAGUGCUUGCGUGCUGGYACCCGACCUUCGGGRAGUGGUGCUUCAUACAUGGYUGCCUCGCGRUGGACKYCUUCGGGCGUGCAGCUGCGRCAAAAUAGCGCUUGCGGCGUUGCUUCGUUGUGCUGGCAUGCUUUCGUGCCUGGUUUAAAUCAAAGCAGCCUCUCUCCCGCUGUUGGUUUUGGAUGUCGCUCACGAUAAAUGCUCAUGGYCCUUUUGGUUGCCUUGAUCAGACCCUAAAUAUSYCAUCCUCGUUGAGAACCGGAACAGGUGCCGCCUCUACCAAUAGGAUACGCGACAUUAUGCCCGGUMCUCGAUUCGUAGGUGGAUAUUGGCCCGCUCAACUGCGACAACCGGCCCGAUGGCUGGCUCUGCCUUUCCACGAAUGUGGACACUCAGGACGCCAUAAAGAGCAAUCCCCCRUGCAAUGCAUGGUGGGAGGCUCCGUUGGUUUGACCGGGUGGCUAACGAAUGUGGAUUGGCGAACCAGUGCCGGCGCUGGGCGUCAAAGAGGACGGUGCUACCUGGUUGAUCCUGCCAGUAGUCAUA